Ribosomal RNA from Mycoplasma sp. CAG:611, 106 nucleotides. The record is from Rfam. Lineage: Bacteria; Bacillati; Mycoplasmatota; Mollicutes; Mycoplasmatales; Mycoplasmataceae.
AUUAGUGACGAUAGCAAAGAGGGUACACCUAGUCCCAUCCCGAACCUAGAAGUUAAGCUCUUUAACGCCGAAGAUAGUAUAAUGCUAAAAUAGGUAGUCGCUAAUG